This 343-nucleotide long non-coding RNA is filed under the name Mytilus galloprovincialis (Mediterranean mussel). Lineage: Eukaryota; Metazoa; Mollusca; Bivalvia; Mytilida; Mytilidae. The record is from RNAcentral.
GGGCGAAGUUUGUUUAAAUUAUUUUUUUUGUAUUUUAAAUAUUUGUUAAUAAAAAAAAAAGAUACGGAAAUACCGUAACGUUUCCAAUUUUGGUUCUGUUGUUAGGGAUUUUACUUGUGACGUUAUUUAAGUUAUGACGUCAUGUUCAAUGUAAACAAAGAAACGCAAUGCAUCAGGUAGGCCUAACGUUUAUUCAUAUGGGGACGAAGUCCCCAAUUACGGUAGAAAAAUCAAUAAAAAAAAAAAAAAAAAAAUCGGGGAAAAUUUCCCGAAUUUUUCAUUCUACUAAUGAACUCAAAAUCGUUAACUUUUUUUUUCAGAUCUACUUCCUGUUCCGGUUUUC